Molecule: long non-coding RNA, 578 nt
Filed under: Ananas comosus (pineapple)
Lineage: Eukaryota; Viridiplantae; Streptophyta; Magnoliopsida; Poales; Bromeliaceae
Description: long non-coding RNA (ACOM_LNC000217)
Source: RNAcentral
GUUGCUACAGAUACCCCCACAAUGUUGCGAAUAUAUAUGUCUUUUUUAAGAAAAAGAUCGAUAGGGUUGCUAUCUGUUUCAUUCAUAGCGAAUACGAUCGAACCGAGCUACAUUAGUGGGGCAACUGGCUCCGAAAACCAGAAAUGUCCCAAACAAGAGCAGGCAAAAAAAAAAAAGAAGAUUAUAAUGUACCAAAUACAAGCUGGGGUAAUUUAUGACUGUUAAUCAAAAAAAUCCUCCCAUUGCUUCGCUAGCAAUUUGGUUCUAUUGACUGCCGCCAUUAGCUUAGUGUUGAUCUCUCUGAAAAUAAAAUUGUUUCUUUUUGUCCAUAUAAUCCAUCAGCAAACUACAAGUAAAUACGAUCUUCCCAAGUUGCCUUUUUCUUGAUACGCUCUUUCCAAGUCGCCCUUUUCCAAACUUCAUGGACAUCUUUAACAAGAAUUAAUACAAUCCAUAUCCCCUUCGCCAACCAUCACCACAAGCAUAAGAUAUCUACUGAAAAUACAAUCUGUGAAGAUGUGAACUACCGUCUCUAAAAAAGAUCCAUAGAACACACAAGAUAGGUUUCCCGUCCAACC